UGAGAGAUAAAAAUGACAAAUGAGUGGGAAAGUGCAAAGGGAAAAACAUAGGGGGGCAUGUCUGUUUUAUUCUACUAGAACCCAAGCCUCCUUCGGGGGGGCAGACAAAAGAAUUUUUUUAUUAUUUAUUUCCUCUAUUUAUUUCU
RNAcentral lists this non-coding RNA (146 nucleotides) under uncultured eukaryote. The record is from RNAcentral.